CUAUCCGCAGAAAAUAGACCACGUGGCCCUAUUCUUUCCCUAUUGGAUUAAAAUUCCGAGUUCUUUUGUUGGUUCCACAAAAAGUGAAACUGCGAAAUCAAGAUCGAGUAGGUGUUUGGCGGCAGGCUUUUAAAGUUUUUAUUUUAUUUUAUCCUUUCGCAGACAAAUUAUAAGGAAAGCAACUGCCUGGCAGACCCUGCUCCCACCCAGGCAGCGCCCCCGCCCCUCGGGGCCUCAGGGAACAUCCUAGGAGAAAUUCUCCGGAUUUGGGACCAGACCCCAUCUAGAACCAAGACCCAGUCUCGGUCCUCCGUGAGGCGGGAAGACACUAAAACGGAAGCAUCUCGCCAAGCGCUUUGAUGGUGGGAAUCCAGCAAACACCAGAAAUAAAAGUUCGCCACGUCUUCAGGGGGUGCUGACGCCCGGCUGAGCUGCAAAUGGUGUCUCGGCCCCUGAAGACUUGUGAAGAGAAUGCUGAGCAGAGGGAACAGCAGAAGAGAAAGGACGUUCGCUAGGGAAUCCGAGCAUUUUCCUUGAAGCUCCCAUCGAAAGGUUUUGAUCAGGCUGGAUUUUCUAUUUUUAGCAAGUCCUAUUACCCUGGCCUGCAGUGUCCUGAACGAACCAAUGUGGACAAAAACCUGCUGCCUGCCAUUUCAGUGAACUAUCCUUGCUGCCUACAAUUCCAGUAAACAAGGAAGGUUGCCCACCAUCAAGCCAUCAGCCGCCACAGCUUCCCUGUUGGUGUGCCCUUAGGGGAAUUCAGGAUGGAGAAAAACAGGAUACUGGCCUUAGAUAGUUAAGAUGCAUGCCAAAGGAAUAAUUUCAAUGAGUCCAGAGCCUUGCAUCUUCCCAUACCUAGAAAGGCACUAAAAUAAUUAACUUGAGAUAUCUAUCUUUUGUGAUUAGCAGUCAUCUUUUGAUGUGUCACUACAUUUGUUUUGUUUUGUUUUUUCCUUAGCAAAAACUCCUAAUAUAUCCUGGCUCCUCUUUAUCUCUUUGAAACAGUGCCUCAGAGCUAUCUGAGAGGCUGAUUUCUAGGCUAUCAACCUUGGAAAGUCCCUGAAUAAAACACAACUCUCAAUUUUUA
Molecule: long non-coding RNA, 1087 nt
Organism: Sus scrofa (pig)
Lineage: Eukaryota; Metazoa; Chordata; Mammalia; Artiodactyla; Suidae
Source: RefSeq, a predicted model, not a curated record